This 197-nucleotide non-coding RNA is filed under the name Pseudomonas phage PAK_P3. The record is from RNAcentral. Lineage: Duplodnaviria; Heunggongvirae; Uroviricota; Caudoviricetes; Vandenendeviridae. RNAcentral also lists the same sequence under 2 other names.
CUCAGGCAGGCCUUUCUGGAGCAGGUAGGCCACGUUGGUGUCCAACCGGUUUUGCAGGUAGUUCAACCAUUGCCGGGGGACUACCUCCACCUCCCAGCCCUUGUUCAUCUUUUCCGGACCUGGGGCGGUGAUAUCACCAGAGACGCCCCAAAUCAGGUUCAUACUGAUCUUGUUGAUAUUGGCCAUUUUGCUCUCUU